This is a long non-coding RNA of Hibiscus syriacus, 166 nucleotides long. RefSeq lists it as uncharacterized. NCBI's taxonomy places the organism in Eukaryota, Viridiplantae, Streptophyta, Magnoliopsida, Malvales, Malvaceae. The transcript is spliced from 3 exons. The record is from RefSeq and is a predicted model, not a curated record.
UCUCAGAGCUCAAUUGAAGAGACAGUUAAAGAUUUAGAUAAUAAAUGGGAAAAUAUUCAGAAUAAAGCAUCGAAGCAGCCUUCUCCAGCUCAAAGAGAGAAAGCAUUGGACAAGCAGCUUCACAGCCUAAUUGAGCAACUAGCUGCAAAGCAGGCACAAGCAGAAG